GAUGAAGAACGUAGCAAAAUGCGAUAAGUAAUGUGAAUUGCAGAAUUCAGUGAAUCAUCGAAUCUUUGAACGCACAUUGCGCCCGCUGGUAUUCCGGCGGGCAUGCCUGUUCGAGCGUCAUUUCAACCCUCAAGCCCCCGGGUUUGGUGUUGGGGAUCGGCUCUGCCCUUCUGGGCGGUGCCGCCCCCGAAAUACAUUGGCGGUCUCGCUGCAGCCUCCAUUGCGUAGCAGCUAACACCUCGCAACUGGAACGCGGCGCGGCCAUGCCGUAAAACCCCAACUUCUGAAUGUUGACCUCGGAUCAGGUAGGAAUACCCGCUGAACUUAAGCAUAUCAAUAAGCGGAGGA
Molecule: unclassified non-coding RNA, 348 nt
Filed under: soil metagenome
Description: partial contains 5.8S ribosomal RNA, internal transcribed spacer 2, and large subunit ribosomal RNA
Rfam family: 5.8S ribosomal RNA (bases 1-120)
Source: RNAcentral